RNAcentral lists this ribosomal RNA (535 nucleotides) under uncultured bacterium. RNAcentral describes it as "bacterial SSU rRNA". It matches the Rfam family "Bacterial small subunit ribosomal RNA", at positions 390 to 916 of the family's 1533-position model. The record is from RNAcentral.
AGCCUUCCGCGUGAGUGAAGAAGGCCUUCGGGUUGUAAAGCUCUUUCGGCAGGAACGAAACGGCGAGCUCUAACAUAGCUUGCUAAUGACGGUACCUGAAGAAGAAGCACCGGCUAACUACGUGCCAGCAGCCGCGGUAAUACGUAGGGUGCGAGCGUUAAUCGGAAUUACUGGGCGUAAAGCGUGCGCAGGCGGUUGUGUAAGACAGGUGUGAAAUCCCCGGGCUUAACCUGGGAACUGCGCUUGUGACUGCACGGCUAGAGUAUGGCAGAGGGGGGUGGAAUUCCACGUGUAGCAGUGAAAUGCGUAGAGAUGUGGAGGAACACCGAUGGCGAAGGCAGCCCCCUGGGCCAAUACUGACGCUCAUGCACGAAAGCGUGGGGAGCAAACAGGAUUAGAUACCCUGGUAGUCCACGCCCUAAACGAUGUCGACUAGGUGUUCGGUGAGGAGACUCAUUGAGUACCGCAGCUAACGCGUGAAGUCGACCGCCUGGGGAGUACGGUCGCAAGAUUAAAACUCAAAUGAAUUUGACGG